GAAACAAAACACCCUAAGAGACCACAGAUGCCAGCCAAGAUUUCUUUAUCCCACAAAAUUUUCAAUAACCAUAGAUGUAGAAAACAAGAUAUUCCAUGAUAAAUUCAAAUUUAAACAAUAUCUAUUCACAAAUCCAGUCCUACAGAAGGUACUAAAAGAAAAACUCCAUCCCAAGAAGGCUAACUACAACUACACCCAUGAAAACACAGAAAAUGAAUACUCUAACACCAGCAAAACCAAAAGAAUGGAAAUACACACAUACACUACCACCACCACCAAAAAACCAGCAACAAAAUAACAGGAAUUAAUAAUCUCUGAUCAUUAGUAUCUCUCAACACCAACAAAUUCAAUUUCCCAAAAAAAGACACAGGAUAACAGAAUGGAUAGGAAAACAGGAUCCAUCCUUCUGCUGUAUACAAAGUACACACCUUAACAACAAACAUAGACUUUUCCUCGGAGUUGAGUGUUGGAUAAAGAUUUUCUUAGCAAAUGGACUGAAGAAGAAAGCUGGUGUAGUCAUUUUAAUAUUAACAAAAUACACUUCCAACCAAAAUUAAUCAAAAGAGAUAGGGAAAACCACUUCAUACUCAUCAAAGAAAAAACCCACCAAGACUUGAGCAUCUAUGCUUAAAAUGCAAGCACUCAUAUUAGUAAAAAGAAACAUUACUAAAACUUAAAGCAUUCAUUGAACCCCAUACACUAAUAGUGGGAGACACAAAUACCCCAUGUUCACCAAUGGACAGGUCAUCCAUGAAGAAAUAACAGAGCCAACAGAAAUAUAUAUAUAUAUCUCAAACAUGUUGUUUUUUUUCCAAAAUUUACUGAAUACUCCAGAAACAAACCAAGUCUCAAUAAAUACAAGAAAAUCAAAAUAACCCUCUCAAUCUUAUCUGACCACCAAGGAUUAAUACUGGAUUUCAACAACAGCAGAAACAACAGAAAUCCCAGAAACUCAUAUUAGCCACAUAAUAUCACACCUGAAAGCCCUAGAAGAAAAAGAAGUAAACACACUCAAGAGGAGUAGACAUCAGGAAAUAAUCAAACUCAGGCCUAAAAUCAAUAAAA
This 1065-nucleotide long non-coding RNA is filed under the name Rattus norvegicus (Norway rat). Its description in RNAcentral is "long non-coding RNA NONRATT016455". The record is from RNAcentral. Lineage: Eukaryota; Metazoa; Chordata; Mammalia; Rodentia; Muridae.